AAUUAUUGAUUUUACAUUUUGUAAUUUUUUCUAGCUCUUGCUUGUUUUUAAAGUCUUUCCUUUCCUAAAGAUCUGACAAAUAUACUAUUCUGUGUUCAUCUAAUCUGCUUAUAGCUUCCUUCUUUAUAUUCAGGUCAUUCACCCAUUCUGAGUUUAUGUUGGUGUAGGGUGUGAGAUGUUGAUACAAACCUCUUUCCCAUACUGUCUUCCAAUUUUCCCAGCAGUUUGUAUGAAAUAGUGGGUUUUGGUCCCCCAAAACUGGGAUCUUUGGGCUUAUCAAAGAGACUUUCUUUCUGAGGUCAUUUACCCCAAGUCUAUUCCACUGAUUCUCCUUUCUAUCUCUUUGCCAGUACCAAAUUGUUUUAAUGAUCACUGCUUUAUAGUAUAGUUUGAGAUCUGGUACUGCAAGGCCACCUUCCUUUGCAUUUUUUUCCCAUUAUUUCCCUGGUUAUCCUUGAUCUUUGUUCUUCCAAAUGAAUUUUGUUAUUUUUUUUUUUUUUUCCAUGAUUUCCCUGGAUAUCCUUGAUCUUUUGUGCUUCCAAAUGAACUUUUUAAUGUUUUUUUCUAAUUCAGUAAAAAAAAUUUUUUUAGUAGUUCAAUGGGUAUGGCACUAAAUAAGUAAAUUAAUCUGGGUAGGAUUGUCAUUUUUAUUAUGUUAGCUCAUCCCACCCAUGAACAAUCAAUGUUUUUCCAAUUGUUUAGGUCUAGUUUUAAUUGUGUGGAGAGUGUUUUGUAGUUGUAUUCAUAUAGUUCCUGUGUUUGUCUCAGCAGAGAGAUUCCUAAGUAUUUUAUAUUGUCUAUGGUGAUUUUACAUGGAAUUUCUCUUUCUAAUUCUAGCUGCCGAAAUAGGUUGGAGAUAUAUAGAAAUGCUGAUGACUUAUGAUGGUUUAUUUUGUAUCCUGCAACUUUGCUAAAAUUGUUGAUUGUUUUGACUAGCUUUUUGGUUGAUUCUCUAAGAUUAUUUAAGUAAACCAUCAUUUCAUCCUCAAAGAGUGAUAGCUUGGUCUCCUCAUUGCCUAUUUUAAUAUCUUCAAUUUCUUUUUUUCUCUAAUUGCUACUGCUAGUGUUUCUAUUACAAUGUUAAAUAGUAGAGGUUAUAAUGGGCAUUCUUGUUUCACUCCUGAUCUUAUUGGGAAGGCAGAUGAUAUUUUCUGAUGGUUUUAGAUAUAUGCUGUUUAUUAUUUUUAGGAAAGGCCUUCCAUCCCUAUAAUUUCUAGUGUUUUCAAUAGGAAUGGGUGUUGUAUUUUAUCAAAGGGUUUUUCUGCAUCUAUUGAGAUAAUCAUGUGAUUUUUGUCAGUUUGCUUGUUAAUAUGGUCAAUUAUGUGAAUGGUUUUCCUAAUAUUGAACCAUCCUUGCAUUCCUGGUAUGAAUCCUACCUGGUCAUAGUGAAUAACGCUUGUGAUGACUUGCUGGAGUCUUUUUGCCAAUAUCCUAUUUGAAAUUUUUGCAUCCAUAUUCAUUAAGGAGAUUGGACUAUAGUUUUCUUUCUUGUUUUUUGACCUGCCUAGCUUUGGGAUCAGUAUUAGAUUGGGAUCAGUAUCAGAUUUAAAAAAAUGGAAAAAGGAAAAACAAAACAAAACAAACCUCCCCCUUUUUUUUAAAGAGACUCAAUAAGUUAAAAUAUUAUGUAUCCCUAUAAGAAAAGAGGUAAUUGGUAACUCUUAAAAACUGUUGUUAUCACCUGUGCAGAUAGAAGAAUUAUACUUAGAGGGAACAGUGACAAACUGUAUAGGAUGAAAAGACAAGUCAUAAAUAGGUAUAUAGAUAUAUGCAUGCAUAAAUACAUAUAUGUGUAUAUAUAUAUAUACACAUAACUAGAGCUAAAAAAAGAGGUUAAUACUAAAAGAAAUGGGAAAAGAAACAAAUGGGGGUAAAUUUAUAUGUCACAAAGCAGCUCAAGGCAGGAGGGGGGAGAACAUCAAUACACUAGAAGGGUAAAGAGGUUGGGGAUAGGAAAUACUCAAAUCUUAUGGGCAUUGAAAUUAAUCUAAAGAGGGAAGAACAAUCCAAUACAUUGGCUAUAGAAUAGAUUUGUGCCCUAUAGGGGAGUAGAAGAGUAACAAAUGGACUGGUGGGGAGGGAAGCAGAACAAGGGAGGGAGAGGAUGGGGGGUAAUUUUAGAAAGACUACAGGGAAAAUAAUGGGGAGAAUAAGAAGGGAGGGGGUAGAAAGGGAAGAAAAAUAAGGGUGGGAACUAGGGGGACUGAUUAAAAACAAACAUUGGUUUAGGAGGAAAUAGUGAAAAAAGAAAAGGCAGGACCAGGAGUAGAAAUCAAAAUGCUGAGAAAUACCCAGCUAAUAAUCAUAACUCUGAAUGUGAAUGGAAUGAACUCACCCAUAAAAUGCAAGUGAAUAGCAGAGGGGAUUAGAAUCCAAAAACCCUACAAUAUGCUGUCUACAAGAAACAGACAUGAGGAAGGUAGAUAUGCAUAGGGUGAAAGUAAGAGGAUGGAGCCAAAUCUAUUGGGCAUCAACUGAAAAAGAAGGCAGGGGUCGCAAUCCUGAUAUCUGACAAAGCCAAAGUAAAAAUAAAUCUAGUAAAAAGAGAUAGGGAAGGUAAUUA
Monodelphis domestica (gray short-tailed opossum) is the source of this 2563-nucleotide long non-coding RNA. The record is from Ensembl. Lineage: Eukaryota; Metazoa; Chordata; Mammalia; Didelphimorphia; Didelphidae.